AGUGAACGCUGGCGGUAGGCCUAACACAUGCAAGUCGAACGGCAGCACAGUAAGAGCUUGCUCUUACGGGUGGCGAGUGGCGGACGGGUGAGGAAUACAUCGGAAUCUACUUUUUCGUGGGGGAUAGCGUAGGGAAACUUACGCUAAUACCGCAUACGACCUACGGGUGAAAGCAUGGGAUCUUCGGACCUUGCGCGAUUGAAUGAGCCGAUGUCGGAUUAGCUAGUUGGCGGGGUAAAGGCCCACCAAGGCGACGAUCCGUAGCUGGUCUGAGAGGAUGAUCAGCCACACUGGAACUGGGACACGGUCCAGACGCCUACGGGAGGCAGCAGUGGGGAAUAGUGGACAAUGGGCGCAAGCCUGAUCCAGCCGUACCGCGUGGGUGAAGAAGGCCUUCGGGUUGUAAAGCCCUUUUGUUGGGAAAGAAAAGCAGCAGGUUAAUACCCCGCUGUUCUGACGGUACCCAAAGAAUAAGCACCGGCUAACUUCGUG
Molecule: ribosomal RNA, 492 nt
Filed under: uncultured bacterium
Lineage: Bacteria
Description: partial 16S ribosomal RNA
Rfam family: Bacterial small subunit ribosomal RNA
Source: RNAcentral